GGUACCUCCCAUUUGCUCCUAUGGAGUGACAAUCGAUCAAGAGAAAAGAGAAGGUGACUUGGAAGGCGAAGAGAGGCAGAAGAGGGAAAAGUCAGAAGCAGUUGCAUGCAUCUGAAAUGAUCAUUUGUGUGUCACAACAAAUGGAGGAAAUGUAUCAUAAAAUGAGGACAUCGGAGAGUACAGACACCCAUAAAACUUGCACUUGCUGAUUGUAAUGUAUAGAUACAACUUCAGGUAUAAUUACAGUUUAUCUCAUAGUAAUGGCCAGGUGAUCCAUGUAAUUGCUCAGACUGCUGUCCAGAGCUGAUACAGAACUUCAAGGCUCUUUCUGCUCCCCUUCCUUCAUACGGUGCUGUUCUUUAUCUUUCAAGCAGACUUGGAUUGGACAGCCUUCAUACAGAGGACUGUUCUUGGACGGUUGCGGAUGGGUGAGUCCACAUUGGCGAUGAUAUCUUCCACAGGAAUUCUGGGGGGUGUGAUUGCGAAGUUUCCUCCCUUGGCUAGGAUGGCAGUUUCUUCUGGCGGGUCACAUCACUCUGGGCACAGAGGGAACUGCUCCUGUCUGUGCUCCUGCACUCCGAAGAUGCCGGUCACAGGUGCUGGCGAAAC
This is a non-coding RNA of Python bivittatus (Burmese python), 609 nucleotides long. The record is from RefSeq and is a predicted model, not a curated record. NCBI's taxonomy places the organism in Eukaryota, Metazoa, Chordata, Lepidosauria, Squamata, Pythonidae.